GACGAACGCUGGCGGCGUGCCUAAUACAUGCAAGUAGAACGCUGAGGGAGGAGCUUGCUUCUCUGGAUGAGUUGCGAACGGGUGAGUAACGCGUAGGUAACCUGCCUGGUAGCGGGGGAUAACUAUUGGAAACGAUAGCUAAUACCGCAUAAUAGCAGUUGUUGCAUGACAACUGUUUGAAAGGUGCAAUUGCACCACUACCAGAUGGACCUGCGUUGUAUUAGCUAGUUGGUGGGGUAACGGCUCACCAAGGCGACGAUACAUAGCCGACCUGAGAGGGGGAUCUGCCACACUGGGACAGGGGCACGACCCAGACUCCUACGGGAGGCAGCAGUAGGGAAUCUUCGGCAAUGGACGGAAGUCGGACCGAGCAACGCCGCGUGAGUGAAGAAGGUUUUCGGAUCGUAAAGCUCUGUUGUAAGAGAAGAACGAGUGUGAGAGUGGAAAGUUCACACUAUGACGGUAUCUUACCAGAAAGGGACGGCUAACUACGUG
RNAcentral lists this ribosomal RNA (495 nucleotides) under uncultured bacterium. RNAcentral's name for it is "partial 16S ribosomal RNA". It matches the Rfam family "Bacterial small subunit ribosomal RNA", at positions 28 to 507 of the family's 1533-position model. The record is from RNAcentral.